GGUUAAGCGACUAAGCGUACACGGUGGAUGCCCUGGCAGUCAGAGGCGAUGAAGGACGUGCUAAUCUGCGAUAAGCGCCGGUAAGGUGAUAUGAACCGUUAUAACCGGCGAUUUCCGAAUGGGGAAACCCAGUGUGAUUCGUCACACUAUCAUUAACUGAAUCCAUAGGUUAAUGAGGCGAACCGGGGGAACUGAAACAUCUAAGUACCCCGAGGAAAAGAAAUCAACCGAGAUUCCCCCAGUAGCGGCGAGCGAACGGGGAGGAGCCCAGAGCCUGAAUCAGCAUGUGUGUUAGUGGAAGCGUCUGGAAAGGCGCGCGAUACAGGGUGACAGCCCCGUACACAAAAGCGCAUGUGCUGUGAGCUCGAUGAGUAGGGCGGGACACGUGGUAUCCUGUCUGAAUAUGGGGGGACCAUCCUCCAAGGCUAAAUACUCCUGACUGACCGAUAGUGAACCAGUACCGUGAGGGAAAGGCGAAAAGAACCCCGGCGAGGGGAGUGAAAAAGAACCUGAAACCGUGUACGUACAAGCAGUGGGAGCACAGGUUUACCUGUGUGACUGCGUACCUUUUGUAUAAUGGGUCAGCGACUUAUAUUCUGUAGCAAGGUUAACCGUAUAGGGGAGCCGUAGGGAAACCGAGUCUUAACCGGGCGUUAAGUUGCAGGGUAUAGACCCGAAACCCGGUGAUCUAGCCAUGGGCAGGUUGAAGGUUGGGUAACACUAACUGGAGGACCGAACCGACUAAUGUUGAAAAAUUAGCGGAUGACCUGUGGCUGGGGGUGAAAGGCCAAUCAAACCGGGAGAUAGCUGGUUCUCCCCGAAAGCUAUUUAGGUAGCGCCUCGUGAAUUCAUCUCCGGGGGUAGAGCACUGUUUCGGCUAGGGGGCCAUCCCGGCUUACCAACCCGAUGCAAACUGCGAAUACCGGAGAAUGUUAUCACGGGAGACACACGGCGGGUGCUAACGUCCGUCGUGAAGAGGGAAACAACCCAGACCGCCAGCUAAGGUCCCAAAGUCAUGGUUAAGUGGGAAACGAUGUGGGAAGGCCCAGACAGCCAGGAUGUUGGCUUAGAAGCAGCCAUCAUUUAAAGAAAGCGUAAUAGCUCACUGGUCGAGUCGGCCUGCGCGGAAGAUGUAACGGGGCUAAACCAUGCACCGAAGCUGCGGCAGCGACACUGUGUGUUGUUGGGUAGGGGAGCGUUCUGUAAGCCUGUGAAGGUGGCCUGUGAGGGUUGCUGGAGGUAUCAGAAGUGCGAAUGCUGACAUAAGUAACGAUAAAGCGGGUGAAAAGCCCGCUCGCCGGAAGACCAAGGGUUCCUGUCCAACGUUAAUCGGGGCAGGGUGAGUCGACCCCUAAGGCGAGGCCGAAAGGCGUAGUCGAUGGGAAACGGGUUAAUAUUCCCGUACUUGGUGUUACUGCGAAGGGGGGACGGAGAAGGCUAUGUUGGCCGGGCGACGGUUGUCCCGGUUUAAGCGUGUAGGUGUGUGUUCCAGGUAAAUCCGGUUCACUUUAACACUGAGGCGUGACGACGAGGCACUACGGUGCUGAAGCAACAAAUGCCCUGCUUCCAGGAAAAGCCUCUAAGCAUCAGGUAACAUCAAAUCGUACCCCAAACCGACACAGGUGGUCAGGUAGAGAAUACCAAGGCGCUUGAGAGAACUCGGGUGAAGGAACUAGGCAAAAUGGUGCCGUAACUUCGGGAGAAGGCACGCUGACACGUAGGUGAAGUGAUUUACUCAUGGAGCUGAAGUCAGUCGAAGAUACCAGCUGGCUGCAACUGUUUAUUAAAAACACAGCACUGUGCAAACACGAAAGUGGACGUAUACGGUGUGACGCCUGCCCGGUGCCGGAAGGUUAAUUGAUGGGGUCAGCGCAAGCGAAGCUCCUGAUCGAAGCCCCGGUAAACGGCGGCCGUAACUAUAACGGUCCUAAGGUAGCGAAAUUCCUUGUCGGGUAAGUUCCGACCUGCACGAAUGGCGUAAUGAUGGCCAGGCUGUCUCCACCCGAGACUCAGUGAAAUUGAACUCGCUGUGAAGAUGCAGUGUACCCGCGGCAAGACGGAAAGACCCCGUGAACCUUUACUAUAGCUUGACACUGAACAUUGAGCCUUGAUGUGUAGGAUAGGUGGGAGGCUUUGAAGUGUGGACGCCAGUCUGCAUGGAGCCGACCUUGAAAUACCACCCUUUAAUGUUUGAUGUUCUAACGUGGACCCGUAAUCCGGGUUGCGGACAGUGUCUGGUGGGUAGUUUGACUGGGGCGGUCUCCUCCUAAAGAGUAACGGAGGAGCACGAAGGUUGGCUAAUCCUGGUCGGACAUCAGGAGGUUAGUGCAAUGGCAUAAGCCAGCUUGACUGCGAGCGUGACGGCGCGAGCAGGUGCGAAAGCAGGUCAUAGUGAUCCGGUGGUUCUGAAUGGAAGGGCCAUCGCUCAACGGAUAAAAGGUACUCCGGGGAUAACAGGCUGAUACCGCCCAAGAGUUCAUAUCGACGGCGGUGUUUGGCACCUCGAUGUCGGCUCAUCACAUCCUGGGGCUGAAGUAGGUCCCAAGGGUAUGGCUGUUCGCCAUUUAAAGUGGUACGCGAGCUGGGUUUAGAACGUCGUGAGACAGUUCGGUCCCUAUCUGCCGUGGGCGCUGGAGAACUGAGGGGGGCUGCUCCUAGUACGAGAGGACCGGAGUGGACGCAUCACUGGUGUUCGGGUUGUCAUGCCAAUGGCACUGCCCGGUAGCUAAAUGCGGAAGAGAUAAGUGCUGAAAGCAUCUAAGCACGAAACUUGCCCCGAGAUGAGUUCUCCCUGAGACUUAGAGUCUCCUGAAGGAACGUUGAAGACGACGACGUUGAUAGGCCGGGUGUGUAAGCGCAGCGAUGCGUUGAGCUAACCGGUACUAAUGAACCGUGAGGCUUAACCUU
RNAcentral lists this ribosomal RNA (2907 nucleotides) under Salmonella enterica. Its description in RNAcentral is "23S ribosomal RNA". It matches the Rfam family "Bacterial large subunit ribosomal RNA". Lineage: Bacteria; Pseudomonadati; Pseudomonadota; Gammaproteobacteria; Enterobacterales; Enterobacteriaceae. RNAcentral also lists the same sequence under 1 other name. The record is from RNAcentral.